RNAcentral lists this unclassified non-coding RNA (235 nucleotides) under Hevea brasiliensis (rubber tree). The record is from RNAcentral. Lineage: Eukaryota; Viridiplantae; Streptophyta; Magnoliopsida; Malpighiales; Euphorbiaceae.
UCUUGGCGUUACUUUUGCUACGUGCGGGCCUUUCCAACCACAUGGCAUAAGCUAGAUGAGUCAAAGGUAAUUGGGGUUGCUGAAGAGGUUGCUUUUGGGUUUCAUGGUUAUGAUUUGGAGUUGGGUCUCGAAGCGGAUGAGUAUGAGAAUUGGCAAAGAAAUAAAAUGAAAAUUAAGAUUCUGUCAUUAGAGAGAGAUGUUACAUAACAGUCUGCACACUUAGUGAAACAGAGGA